UUGGAGGGCAAGUCUGGUGCCAGCAGCCGCGGUAAUUCCAGCUCCAAUAGCGUAUAUUAAAGUUGUUGCAGUUAAAAAGCUCGUAGUUGAAUUUCGGGAUCAGUAUGUUGGUCGUGCUUCGGUACGUACUGUCAUUACUGGUUUCUACCUUCUGAAGAACCUUGAUGUCAUUAAUUUGGUGUCUUGGGGAAUCAGGACUGUUACUUUGAAAAAAUUAGAGUGUUUAAAGCAGGCAUACGCUUGAAUACAUUAGCAUGGAAUAAUGAAAUAGGACGUUUGAUUCUAUUUUGUUGGUUUCUAGGAUCGACGUAAUGAUUAAUAGGGAUAGUUGGGGGCAUUAGUAUUCAAUUGUCAGAGGUGAAAUUCCUGGAUUUAUUGAAGACUAACUACUGCGAAAGCAUUUGCCAAGGAUGUUUUCAUUAAUCAAGAACGAAAGUUAGGGGAUCGAAGACGAUCAGAUACCGUCGUAGUCUUAACCAUAAACUAUGCCGACUAGGGAUCGGAUGAUGUUAUUUUUAAUGACUCAUUCGGCGCCUUACGGGAAACCAAAGUGUUUGGGUUC
RNAcentral lists this ribosomal RNA (562 nucleotides) under uncultured Glomeromycotina. RNAcentral describes it as "SSU rRNA". It matches the Rfam family "Eukaryotic small subunit ribosomal RNA", at positions 548 to 1114 of the family's 1831-position model. Lineage: Eukaryota; Fungi; Glomeromycota. The record is from RNAcentral.